RNAcentral lists this ribosomal RNA (414 nucleotides) under uncultured microorganism. RNAcentral's name for it is "bacterial SSU rRNA". It matches the Rfam family "Bacterial small subunit ribosomal RNA", at positions 9 to 429 of the family's 1533-position model. The record is from RNAcentral.
GAGUUUGAUCCUGGCUCAGAUUGAACGCUGGCGGCAUGCCUUACACAUGCAAGUCGAACGGUAACAGGUCUUCGGAUGCUGACGAGUGGCGAACGGGUGAGUAAUACAUCGGAACGUGCCCGAUCGUGGGGGGAUAACGGAGCGAAAGCUUUGCUAAUACCGCAUACGAUCUACGGAUGAAAGCAGGGACCGCAAGGCCUUGCGCGGACGGAGCGGCCGAUGGCAGAUUAGGUAGUUGGUGGGAUAAAAGCUUACCAAGCCGACGAUCUGUAGCUGGUCUGAGAGGACGACCAGCCACACUGGGACUGAGACACGGCCCAGACUCCUACGGGAGGCAGCAGUGGGGAAUUUUGGACAAUGGGCGAAAGCCUGAUCCAGCCAUGCCGCGUGCAGGAUAAAGGCCUCGGUUGUAAC